GGGUAGUUUGACUGGGGCGGUCUCCUCCUAAAGAGUAACGGAGGAGCACGAAGGUUGGCUAAUCCUGGUCGGACAUCAGGAGGUUAGUGCAAUGGCAUAAGCCAGCUUGACUGCGAGCGUGACGGCGCGAGCAGGUGCGAAAGCAGGUCAUAGUGAUCCGGUGGUUCUGAAUGGAAGGGCCAUCGCUCAACGGAUAAAAGGUACUCCGGGGAUAACAGGCUGAUACCGCCCAAGAGUUCAUAUCGACGGCGGUGUUUGGCACCUCGAUGUCGGCUCAUCACAUCCUGGGGCUGAAGUAGGUCCCAAGGGUAUGGCUGUUCGCCAUUUAAAGUGGUACGCGAGCUGGGUUUAGAACGUCGUGAGACAGUUCGGUCCCUAUCUGCCGUGGGCGCUGGAAGAUUGAGGGGGGCUGCUCCUAGUACGAGAGGACCGGAGUGGACGCAUCACUGGUGUUCGGGUUGUCAUGCCAAUGGCACUGCCCGGUAGCUACAUGCGGAAGAGAUAAGUGCUGAAAG
RNAcentral lists this ribosomal RNA (515 nucleotides) under Salmonella enterica. RNAcentral's name for it is "partial 23S ribosomal RNA". It matches the Rfam family "Bacterial large subunit ribosomal RNA", at positions 2263 to 2777 of the family's 2925-position model. The record is from RNAcentral. Lineage: Bacteria; Pseudomonadati; Pseudomonadota; Gammaproteobacteria; Enterobacterales; Enterobacteriaceae.